CAGAGCUUUCCACCAAGCCCAGUGAGAGGGCCAAGCUCCUGUCCCAGUACCAAUGCUGGUGCUGCUUCCUGCUGCUGCUGAAGGUCAGGUACAGGGCAUUGGUGGGAGCAGCCAACACUAUCACUUUGGCUGCUGGUGCUGUUUGGUUGAUGUCCCCAGAAACUCACUGUACCAGUGCACUCUGCCCAGGCAUGCUUGAAUCCCAGCAGUUAGCACAGCAUGGCCUCAAGUUGUCCUAUACACACUUCUUGCAAAUCAGUCUUGGGGGCUCAACAUAACUGCUGCCCCCAACCCCCCUACACUGGAACAACUUUGCUACCACAACUCAAAUCUGCCACUUCCAAAAUUUUUUUUGCCUCAUUUCCAUGUUUUUGUUUUUCAUCUGUCCUUUCAGAGAGCCCAGCCAGAAUCAAAUGAUCUAAAUGGGUUUAAGAGUAGAGCACUUCACCUGCCAGUUGGGUCUUAUUUUUCUGAAGAUAUGCUUUUCUUUUGUGAUCACGGAUCCCUUAGCCUUGAUCUUUCAAGAGCUGCCUGGGUGUUUGAAGAGCAACUUACCUUCCACUGAAGGGAAUCUUCCCACGUCUCCCUCCCCAGGAACUGAAGACAGAGAGGCCAAAGUGCGGUCCCUGCUGUCAAGGAUUCUGCCCUCUUCUUGGGGAAGCAAGACCCAUAUUCCUGGGAGAAAGACAGGUAAGUUAAGACCCAACCUGGUGCUUCCAAUAAGGGUGUAUGUGAGAAUAAGGAAAUAUUCAGACCAUUUUCCUAACCCAAACCGUCUAUCCCUUCUUUAGCCCAGCCUAUUGUGUCAAUUUUUUUCCCUCUGUUUCUCUUCCUCGAUUUAGUUGAGAAGGGGCAUAGAGUUAGAGAUGCCUAUAUAUGAUCUCCUUCAUCAAAUGUCUGCCUCUAACUUUUAAGCAGAUACUUCUAC
Molecule: long non-coding RNA, 928 nt
Filed under: Camelus dromedarius (Arabian camel)
Lineage: Eukaryota; Metazoa; Chordata; Mammalia; Artiodactyla; Camelidae
Description: lncRNA (ENSCDRG00005000349.1)
Source: RNAcentral